This 72-nucleotide transfer RNA is filed under the name Salmonella phage Arash. It matches the Rfam family "tRNA". Rfam says of the family: Transfer RNA (tRNA) molecules are approximately 80 nucleotides in length. Their secondary structure includes four short double-helical elements and three loops (D, anti-codon, and T loops). Lineage: Duplodnaviria; Heunggongvirae; Uroviricota; Caudoviricetes. The record is from Rfam by way of RNAcentral.
GGUAGUGUAGCUCAGUGGUAGAGCAACUCCCUCAUAAGGAGGAGGUCGGUGGAUCGUACCCACCCAUUACCA